Long non-coding RNA from Chenopodium quinoa (quinoa), 1264 nucleotides. RefSeq lists it as uncharacterized. The record is from RefSeq and is a predicted model, not a curated record. NCBI's taxonomy places the organism in Eukaryota, Viridiplantae, Streptophyta, Magnoliopsida, Caryophyllales, Amaranthaceae. The transcript is spliced from 4 exons.
UCUUCAAUUCAAUGGACUGAGUUAUGAUAAACUCUCAGUGGAAGGGGCAUCAUGUGCAUGUUAGUAGUUAAAGAUGAGUUCUUGCGAUUGCAUAAAUGUAAAAUUUUUGAAAAAGGAAAUUCCUCAUACAAGAUGCUUUUUAGGGGAUUUUUACAGUGAUAUAUUUAUAUAUUGAAGACAUUGCUAUGCUAGUAUGUGCUACAUAACCUUUCUUGCCCCUAUAGUAACAGUAAUCCUCCGUUUGCUCAAUAAGAAAUUCAUUUUCUGAAAGUUUCUUCAAGAAAGAGCUACUUUGAUGCAUAGAAAUAAGGCUGAAAAUUGAUUGGACAACAUCUUAGGUUAAAGCAUCUUGUGCACUGGAUAAACACGAAGAAUGCUGUUAUUUAUUUGAAAAUGACGAAGUUAUGUGUCUUUUGAAGUUUAUCUAAUUGGUAUCUAUGGUUUACAAGGUCAAAACAUGCCCACUUAUUUCCUCUAGAAGCUAAGCAUUAUCCUUUACUUUCAUUCUCUUUUCUUUUAUUUUUCCCCCUUCAUUUUAUUUUGUUUCUUUUUCAACAUGACAAUCUUGCUGACAUGUAUGAUUUGGUCGUGUGCAGUAGGAAAACAGACUAAUAAGGUGCUCUAAGGAUGUGGAGGUACAAAUGAAAGCGGAAGCAGCCAAAUCAUACCUUCAGCAGUAGGAGAAUGGAAUUUCUUUCAUCCAUAUUCAAGGACUAUCUCACGUGUGGGGUGUAAGGGACUUCGGAUUAUUUUCUGUGGUAGAGAAACUACAAUACACACUGAUGCAGCAGAGCAUUUUGUAUAUUUAUCUCGUUGGCAGCAUUCAACCUCCUAUAUAGAAGAGCGGGACAUCGUGUGAUGCAUCUUUAUUUACCAAGAAAAGGGAGAUUGACCCAAAAACACAAGCUAACCUAUCAAAGAACACCUAGUAAUUGGGAAUGCUGCCCAAUCCGGGUCACACCAACCCUUAAGGCAUGCAAUAAUAUACCCAAGUGCCUUUUAAGUAUCGAACAACUCUUUAAGCUCCUAAUGUUUAAGAUGUGGUUCCUUUUAGAAAAUAUUGUACAACUUUCCUUGUGAGUCAGAUUAGUGAGAAUAAUAAUAUUUUCAAAGUAUCACAAACUAAGUGUUUGGGAAAUAUCACAACUAAUCUUGCAGCGGAAAUAAUAUUCACUUUCCCUUUGUGUAUAAACAAAAUAUGUAACAAUUUUAUCUCUAUAAUAUAAUCGAUUAACUCACAAAGUGUUUCUAAACUAUAAACUAA